GAUGAACGCUGGCGGCGUGCUUAACACAUGCAAGUCGAACGGAAAGGCCCUGCUUUUGUGGGGUGCUCGAGUGGCGAACGGGUGAGUAACACGUGAGUAACCUGCCCUUGACUUUGGGAUAACUUCAGGAAACUGGGGCUAAUAUCGGAUAGGAGCUCCUGCUGCAUGGUGGGGGUUGGAAAGUUUCGGCGGUUGGGGAUGGACUCGCGGCUUAUCAGCUUGUUGGUGGGGUAGUGGCUUACCAAGGCUUUGACGGGUAGCCGGCCUGGGAGGGUGACCGGCCACAUGGGGACUGAGAUACGGACCAGACUCCUACGGGAGGCAGCAGGCGGGAGUAUUGCACAAUGGGCGGAAGCCUGAUGCGGCAACGCCGCGUGCGGGAUGACGGCCUUCGGGUUGUGAACCGCUUUCGCCUGUGACGAAGCGUGAGUGACGGUAAUGAGUAAAGAAGCACCGGCUAACUACGUG
This 468-nucleotide ribosomal RNA is filed under the name uncultured bacterium. RNAcentral's name for it is "partial 16S ribosomal RNA". It matches the Rfam family "Bacterial small subunit ribosomal RNA", at positions 28 to 507 of the family's 1533-position model. The record is from RNAcentral.